AGGGGGGUCGAGGAGAAGGAAAUCCUGAAAAACUGCUUCCCACAAGCAUAAAGCGGGGACGAGUUAAGACCCCAGCGUUGUCUGCCCCUUUUGAGGGAAGAAGCCAAUUCACCCCGGUGACAACAGCUACGGGUACCCAGAUCCAAGCCUCUAUACCAGCCCGUCUUCCGCCCCUGACUUGCCCUCCCCUUCCUCCAGUCUCACCUCAACCCUCCCCACCCUUCCCGAAGGGGCUCCGUACCUGAUGCUCCUCGAGCUCCUGCACUAGCACCUGAGCAAAAGGGAAACACAGAUAUGACGAGCAGCUCGGGCCAUCAACCCAUUCCUCCCUCCACACUUAAAGCCCAGCCGCUGACCGUUUGACUAGUCAAGGCCGGCCUUUCCCUCACCCUCAACGGAACUGCUCGUCCCGCUGCCUCGAUUUCCCCACUGGGACCAUUCACCACGACUCCCAGAUCUCUUUCUUCCCCUUACCUGAGCGGAUUUGUUGCAGGGUCCAGACUGCAAGAACCUAGCGAUCAGCAUUAUUUACAGUAGCCAAGAUAUGGAAUCAACCCAACUGUCCAUCAACAGAUAAAUGAAUAAGGAAAAUAUGGUAUAUACACAGUGGAAUACUAUUCAUUCAUUGAAAAGAAGGAAAUCUUGCCAUUUGCAUCAACAUGGAUGAACCUGGAGGAUAUUAAAUUAAACAAGCCAGGCACAGGAAGACAAAUACUACAUGCCUUCACUCAUAGAUGUGCAGUCAAGUAGAAUGAAGACUGCUGAGGUGAAAAACAGACACACAAAAGCCUAAAUAGCCGAGAGUCCUCAGUUCACUGGAGGCUCCAGAUAUCUUCACAAUUGUAAAGAAAAAAACAAAAAAUUUGAAAAAUACCAGAAGGAAAAAUAAGUGCAAACCAAAACACGGAAUGACAAAGGAAGCCACCUGAAGAUGCCUUCAUCAUCUGAACAUUUCUCAGUUGCUAUUUUACUUUUUAAAAGUAGUCUGUUAUUUAAGAGUCAAUUGCAUUUAUCUGUGCCUCAUCUCCCCUAUUUAUUAUGUGUCUCCUCAAGGCAUUGGACAAUGUUAACCACAUUCCUUUUAACUCCCCAGAACAUUGAGUCUUAUGCAUCAAGUGAGAGUAAUUUAUAAGCCCUUCGUUAUGUUUUCCCGGAAACUAGAUGAAAGUGUUUUAAGUAAGGAGAAAUCACUUAAAAUGGUAAGCUUGUCUAUUUCUCUGCAUGGUUGAGGAACUCCAGCUGCUCCAGGCUGCAGUUUGUGUCCUGCCAUCCCUGCAAAACUUCUGCCUGAUAUCUGCCUUCACCACCACCCAACCCAAAGCAACUCUGAUUCUGGGAAGCUGAGCUCUCUUUUUUCAGUGCAAUUUAUCUCUCCCUGUGCCCUGGGAGAGGCCAGACAACAGUCCUGAGAGACGCUGCCAGCAAGUUGUUUAUGCCAGGAGGGUGUUGCCCUACCUGUGGCCUCACUGCAGAGCCCUCUAUGGAGAGGGGAUGUAUCUGAUUCUGAUGUUCUUUUACAAAUCAAAUUUCUACUUUUUAAUUUUUGUACCUCUUCUCAGACUCUGCAUUGUAUGAUAGAAUAUUUAUUUUAUUAUUAAAAAUGGUGAAUUAGCUAGCACAUUGCUUUUUCUAUCUUAAUAACGACUAUCUUAAUUCUGUAAAAUUAUAAUGUAAGUCUUGAAUAAAGUAGUCAUUGCAGUAUUUUAUAAUCCUAGUCAUGUACCAGAGCUUUCUCAAGGGGAAAAGUAUUAUAGUUAUCUCUUUAAUAUUUGCUUGUGUGAAACAGUUAUUAACACCGUUUAUAGCUAACCCUGUCUAUAGUGGCCGUUUUGAGAACCCUAAAUCUCUAAUUUAAAGGCCCAAGAUUUUAUCAGUUUGUAUGGAACCUGUGUUUGCUCCUCAGUCCUGGUUUCCUAAUAAACUUAUGAAGAUAUUUGCAAUGGA
Molecule: long non-coding RNA, 1944 nt
Organism: Symphalangus syndactylus (siamang)
Lineage: Eukaryota; Metazoa; Chordata; Mammalia; Primates; Hylobatidae
Source: RefSeq, a predicted model, not a curated record